GACCAUCAACACAACAGCCAUAGUGCUUGUUGGUCAAUAUAAAGAGCGAUAAAUAAGACAGAUUUAAUUUGGUGUUACCUGUUCUGAAGGUCGGCCAUAUUGGAGCGGUACAGGUCAGCGAAUGACUAGAGACCGAUAAUUGACGCCACCAGUUGGUACAAGUUCUGGAUGAGAGUUUUCUGCAUGGUGAGCUCGCUGCUGAGUGAUGGUACCGAGCUGGGAUGGGUCACCGUGUUCUGUUUGGUGAGCUGAUUCAGCAUCUCCAGCAUUCGGCCCUUCUCUUUCUGCCAUAAAAAGAAGAUAAUUUAUUGUUCCAUCAACCUUACAUGCCAUAAUGUCUUACCAGCAGGGCGUCCACAAGCUCAUCAUCAUGUUUACUCUUCACUAGCAGGGCAGAUAUCUGAGCUUUCAGAGUUUUGGCUUCAGCGGACAGACAUUUGUUUCUGGCUCUGCAGGCUUCCCGUUCUUUCCUCACUUGAUCGUGUUCUUUCUGGAGGGUUUCAUAGCUCGCUGAGAUCCUCUAAAGUGGUGGCUGAUGUUUCUGUCCUGACUUGGGAUUGUAAGAACACCAGGAAGUUCAUCAUUCGGGUCACUUGACAGAGAGGACUUCAGCUUUAGCUGCUGCUCGAGGUCACGCACCUGUCACACACACUGCUCACUUUAGAUCACCUUAGCAUAUGUAGCUCCUAUUUUUAUUUCACUUCAUUUUCUUUUACUUGAUUAUUUUUUGCAUUUUUAGAAGUUAUUUUUUACUUGUUGACAAUAAUCUGCAUCAUAAUGUAUAGCAAGCACUGCCCUUUGCAAGUGCAGUUGUCUGUUUUAUAACUUAAUUCCAAUUAAACACCCACUUAUUCUGUUAUAUACUGUACAAACUUAGUCAAUACAGUCUCAAUGCGUGUGUCUUAUAUUGGGCACCAGGCUCAGCAGUCACAUAUAACAGCAUCCACGUGCACUUUCUAAUGUAUUGCCUUUGCACUUCUAUGGAGUCCUUUCUUCUCUAAUUUGAGAGCUCAUUUCCUCCAUCUUACCCUUGCUUGGAGAGCCAGAAUCUGCUGUGCACGUCCUCUAAAGUUGCCUGGACAACUCAGUAAUUGCUGAAGGUUGACAUCUUCGCCAACCUCACUCAUCAAAACCUAUAGAAAAGAGCAUUAGUAUUGCAUUAGGAUCCAUAUUUGUUUGAUGUCCAUGAGAAAUAAAAUGUUGUGCACCUUUUGAGCCACUUUUAACUCUUGUUUAAAAGACUGAACUUGGUUGCGGUACUCUGUGUUUUUCAGCUGGGCAGACGCUAAUUUCUCUUUCAGGGUCUUCAGCGCUGGACUGUCCUGUUAUGGUGGACCGAUCAUAAGUAGACUUAGUAUCUGAUGGAAACAUUUCUCAUUACACUUACCUCAUGGUUUUGCUGCUGCACAAUGACAUCAAUCUUUUGUCCUUGUGGUAGUGAACGCAGCGCAGCCUGUAGCUUUAAGAAAAAAGCAGGACAUGAGACCAGUUAAUCUAGAAAAUGACUUGAAUCGGACAUCUUAACACACAUCUUUCUCCAGCUCCUUGAUUCUGUUGCCGUUUUGUUUGGAUUUAGUCCGCUCUCGCUCAACUUCAGCAGUCAGCUCUCGGUUCCUUUUGGACAACUCCACAAUCUUGACGGCAGCAGCAUCUCCUGCCAAGCCAGACGCACCUACGGCAGUCCACACCAUCAGUCUACGGUUCAUCAUGCCAAAAGUAAUUAUAGAAACGUACCAGCCAUGACCAACUGUCUCUCUUGUUCCCAUUUCUUCUUCAUGUGUUUGAUUACAAAGUCUUUUUCGCUUAGAAGUUUCAAGAGACGACCAUUCACAUCCUUUAGUUCCCUCAAUUGGUCCAGCAAACACCCACUGUCAUGUUGAGGUCUACAGGAAGUGGUUAAGUGCAACAUAGUUUUGUUUUGGUUGUUUUUUUAAGUAAUAUUUUCUUACCUGUCUCCAAUGUUGGGACUAUCUUGAUUUUUAGAAAACUCUAAAUCACCGACAGACAAAUCCUUUUUUCUUUUGUUUUGAUCCUGUAGGUUUUCAUGCUGUUUUUGCAAAGCUUGAAGCUGAAGAGUCUUCAUUUCAUCACCACCAUUCUCCAUGAUCUGUGUUACAAUGACAAAGCUGACAGAAUUUCAAUACAAGAGCUCUAUAUAGUUUAAGACAAUAAUACAAAUAAAUAGAAAAUUGUUUAUUGGAGCUGUAGCCAGCAUUAACUGACCAAAACUAUGCUUACAUGACGUGACGUUGUAUUGCAUCUCAUUAUAGUGUGCAGGUGUAUUCAUGCAGUCAAGUACAUGAUUAGCUUUCUGCAACACCACCAUUUCUACAAAAACUACAACGUAUUUUUACAAAGCAUAAAAAAACAAUAGUAACUCACCUGUCAUUUGUUCAAGUAGUGACAUAGGCUGUUUUGCAUCUGUUAGGCGAAAAGAGCCCCUGAACUCCAAUGGCUUCCUGUGCCACGACCACUGCCUCCAUGGCAACGGCGCUGACGAGACCUCUGGAGAGGUCUCGCGGGAAAGACAACCCUGUCAUGGCCACUUGCAAACGCGAUGAGGUCAUGUACAUUUAGCAAUGUCUACUCUUAUUUUAAAUAUGUAUGGUGGCCCAAGGAACUGAUUUGAAUAAUAGUACGUAGAUACAAAGGUAAUAGAAUAUUCGGCACACUUUUUGUAAUUUACAUUCUAAAAACAUGCCUAUUUACUUAGGUGGUGCAUAUAUUAUUUAAUAUUGUGUUGCAAGGGGGGCUGUUUAUAGCGAUGGACACGGAGUAGGGUGCCUGCCUCGGCAUCCAGGAGAGAAUACAGGAGGAGUGAACUACCAUCCGCUUCCGUAGUGUGACCUGGGCGGCUUUGGCCGCCAUGAUAGAAGGCAGAAUCCAAAAAAUGGCAUUGAAAAUGUACUCAGGGACACUGCUCAGUCACUAAGUGCACAAAUAAACAAAAUUUUUAAUUUUUCUAGUUCCCCCCAAACAGGUACGUGUGAUAAAAUGUAGUGAAGAACUGGAGUCUGAGGCGGGGUGUGGAACUUAGGAGAGAACUUUAUUCUUUCGAACAUUAACUCACUCUCCUCGCUACGUGAGACAUAAUCGCCCACCUUGCAACCACAAGAGAAAAACCCUUUUCCUCACGCCCACCCCUCCGGGUGACAACCACCCCCCUAUCAAUCGUUCCGGGGUGAAUUAUGUACCGGCAACCUAGCACUAUAGUAGAUUUAUUGUUGUAAAUAAACAGGAAAGUUGGACACAAUAUACAUAUAUUUAAAAAAUAGUUGGUUUCUCUGGGUGAAUUCAUGACAAGUCAGUAAUAAUGACUGUAAAAUGUAUUAACAAUGCCAUUAUUUAAAUAAAUGUUGCUUUGUGUAAAUACUUCCAGUUAAAUAUUCAUAUAUGUUUUUAAAUCAUAAUAAAAAAAAUACUGUGAUAAAUGAUUGUGAUAUUACUGUGAUAAGAGGCUGAAACACCUAAUGAAGUUGAGGCACACAACUGAUGAUGUCGUAUUGGAGGCACCCCAAGACCUUG
Doryrhamphus excisus (bluestripe pipefish) is the source of this 3525-nucleotide non-coding RNA. The record is from RefSeq and is a predicted model, not a curated record. Lineage: Eukaryota; Metazoa; Chordata; Actinopteri; Syngnathiformes; Syngnathidae.